AGUGAACGCUGGCGGUAGGCCUAACACAUGCAAGUCGAACGGCAGCACAGUAAGAGCUUGCUCUUACGGGUGGCGAGUGGCGGACGGGUGAGGAAUACAUCGGAAUCUUCUUUUUCGUGGGGGAUAACGUAGGGAAACUUACGCUAAUACCGCAUACGACCUACGGGUGAAAGCAGGGGAUCUUCGGACCUUGCGCGAUUGAAUGAGCCGAUGUCGGAUUAGCUAGUUGGCGGGGUAAAGGCCCACCAAGGCGACGAUCCGUAGCUGGUCUGAGAGGAUGAUCAGCCACACUGGAACUGAGACACGGUCCAGACUCCUACGGGAGGCAGCAGUGGGGAAUAUUGGACAAUGGGCGCAAGCCUGAUCCAGCCAUACUGCGUGGGUGAAGAAGGCCUUCGGGUUGUAAAGCCCUUUUGUUGGGAAAGAAAAGCAGCAGGUUAAUACCCCGCUGUUCUGACGGUACCCAAAGAAUAAGCACCGGCUAACUUCGUG
Molecule: ribosomal RNA, 492 nt
Filed under: uncultured bacterium
Lineage: Bacteria
Description: partial 16S ribosomal RNA
Rfam family: Bacterial small subunit ribosomal RNA
Source: RNAcentral